AGGCAUUGCAAAGCUGCACUUCGAGUUUGUAAAGAUGGUCCAGUGUCCUGGAAGACGUGGUAACGGAUGCAGUGCACCUAGAACUUCACGAGAAAAGACGCUGUUGUGGCCUGUGACAACGGGUGGCUCAGCCCUGCUACCGUCCCUAGACACGGGUCCUGGCACGAGCUGAAGACGUCACCGCGAAGCCCAGUCUGGCAGCCUACGUAGCUUAGCCUUCCUUACCCCCUCACCCCUUCGAUUAAUAAAUUUGUUACUCACUGACCCA
Long non-coding RNA from Dermacentor albipictus, 268 nucleotides. RefSeq lists it as uncharacterized. The record is from RefSeq and is a predicted model, not a curated record. NCBI's taxonomy places the organism in Eukaryota, Metazoa, Arthropoda, Arachnida, Ixodida, Ixodidae.